This 5954-nucleotide long non-coding RNA is filed under the name Sus scrofa (pig). RNAcentral's name for it is "lncRNA (ENSSSCG00035036942.1)". Lineage: Eukaryota; Metazoa; Chordata; Mammalia; Artiodactyla; Suidae. The record is from RNAcentral.
UUUUUUUUUUUUCUUUUUUUUUACAGUGUGAGUUUUUACCCUGUUGCCCAAGAACACAAGAAAACUGCGAGGAAGGAAGAAUGAGUCAGACUCCUUUCCUCUCACUCCUAAGAAUCCGUGAACCCGACUAGUCAUGUAAUAGCACCAACCUUUCCUGCCACCUGCCCAGGGAUCUCAAAGGAUGGGAAGUGGGGAAGGCAAGAGCAAGUGGGUACAACCUCAUUGGAGUCAUUGAAACACACAACAAGGCAUGGCAGGGAGAGAGAGGGAGGGACAGCUGCAACAGCAGCCUUCCCGACAGUCCGUGUCUCUCAAGUCCAAAGAAAAAUGAAAUGACUUGGCCACCCACAAAAGGAGACCUGCCACGAAACGAGGCAGGGAGUGGGAGGCUGCAGAAGUUCCCAGGCUCCUCCUGAGAUCGCAAAGGGAGCCUUUCUACACGGCCAUGAGGUGGGUGCUGGCAGCACCAAGAUCCCGGCACUGUCGCCAGGCGGAGGGUGAGGCCAAGGCAGGGCCACACACAACACUGGGCUGCAGGACAGGGUCUGUCUGGAGCCAUGGAUGGAAACUAAAAUCCACAUGCUGACACUUCACUGCCACAGGAGCCUUGACUCAAAGACACUGCCAAAGCCAUUGCUGGCAGCCAGCACUGGCAUUUUAGAUGCAUCCUGCCAUUUACUGAAAGGAAAAUGGAACACGGAGAUGAAUUUGCUAACUGCAUUAUGGGUGGCUUCACACCUUAGGCAAUAGCCAACCAAGUCUAGGAACCCUGGCUUGCGUAGUGGACACCACUCGCCCCCUUGCUAAGGUGAAGAAGGAGCCCGACAAGAAGCAUCUAGAGCAAGGUUCUCCAUCCCCAGGCCUACAGGCUUCUCUUGCCUGUGCUGAGCCCCUCCUGGAGUCUGUUCUAUGCCACGAAUAAUUCUUGGAAUUAACAGGAAGAUAACAGAGGAAAACACUCUUUAAAUGUAUGUUAGAACCAUUAUCUAAUUCAAUUUGGCAUUGUUUUUGUUGUUAUCCUCAAGAGACUAUAUUAGUGUGGUUAAAAUAUUUUACACUUAAAAAGAAAACCUGGGGGUUCCUGUCAUGGCACAGUGGUUAACGAAUCCGACUAGGAACCCUGAGGUUGCGAGUUCGAUCCCUGUCCUUGCUCAGUGGGUUAAUGAUCCGGCGUUGCUAUGGGCUGUGGUGUAGGUUGCAGACACGGCUCGGAUCCAGAUUUGCUUCGGCUACAGCGUUGCUGCAGCUCCGAUUAGACCCCUAGCCUGGGAACCUCCAUAUUCCUUGGGAGCGGCCCAAGAAAUGGCAAAAAAAGACAAAAAAAAGAAAACUUAGAGAAUUUUUUUUUAUAUUACUUAAUGAAUUUAUUACAUUUAUAGUUGUACAAUGAUCAUCACAAUCCAAUUUUAUAGGAUUUCCAUCCCACACCCCCAGCACAUCCCCCCACCCCCCAACAUGUCUCAGGAAACCAUACGUUUUUCAAAGUCCAGUAUCUGUUCUGCAAAGAAGUUCAUUGUGUCCUUUUUUCAGAUUCCACAUGUAAGUGAUAGCAUUUGAUGUUGGUGUCUCAUUGUCUGACUUCACUUAGCAUGAUAAUUUCUAGGGCCAUCCAUGUUGCUAAGAAUGCCGUUAUUUCGUUCCUUUUAAUGGCUGAGUAAUAUUCCACUGUGUAUGUGUACCUCAUCUUGAUCCACUCCUCUGUUGGUGGACACUUAGCUUGUUUCCAUGUCUUGACUAUUGCAAAUAGUGCUGCAAUGAACAUUGGAGUAAAUGUGACUUUGUGAGUCAUGCUUUUCUCUGGAUAGAUGCCAGGGAGUGGAAUUGCUGGAUCAAAUGGUAGUUCUAUGUUUAGUUUUCUGAGGAAUCUCCAUACUGUUUUCUACAAUGGUGGCACCAAUUUACAAUCCCACCAACAGUGUAAUAGGGUUCCUUUUUCUCCACACUCUCUCCAGCACUUAUUGUCUGUUUAGAUCAUCUGCCCAUUUUUUGAUGGGGUUGUUUGUCUUUUUGGUAUUGAGCUGUAGGAGGAGUUCAUAAAUUUUGGAGAUUAAUCCCUUGUCAGUUGGUUCAUUUGCAAAUAUUUUCUCCCAUUCUGUGGGUUGUCUUUUCAUUUUGUUUAGGGUUUCCUUUGCUAUGCUGAAACCCCACAAAGAGAAUUUGACCAAGACUUGAGGACACCAGUAUUCAAACCUAAGAUCUCAGGUGAAACUCCAAUUCCACUAAACCAACAAUAAAUGUCUCAGGCAGAUCCCAGGUAUCCUCCAUCAAAUGAUGCUCCCAAGGGCCAGACCCUCUGAUGAUGGUCUAUGAGUCCAGCAGUGCUGCCCAGAAGAACAGAGCCGUGGCUCUAAAACUCUUGAAUUUGGUAAUGCAAGAUGGUAGGCAACAUGUCAAUUAAAAUUGGCUGCAUCUAUUUAUAAUGAAUCACUGGAAAUGCUGUGCAGAGGUAAAUACAUAAGCACUCUAAGACCAAACCACUUUUACUGAUCCUCUGGCCCCCUCAAUCUUAUAAAUCAGACAUAUGAAGACUGAAAAAAUCAAAUGCUCAAUCAGGACGGGUGCAAUAAUUGAAGCUGUAUUUGCACGCGGCUUACCUCUUAUGCGAAGCGUUUACCAAACAACAGCGCCAAAGAAGGAUUUUGCUGUAAUCCUGCAAGCACAGAGCACUGGGGUGGUUUUCCCCAGAAUUCCAGGGCGGCAAUGGUUGCUGAGUGCCGUGUAUGUUCACAGGAUAGUAUUCUCACAAUGUGGCCAACCCAGAGAAGCCCGCGGUUUUGGACCCUGAACCACUGUCAGAAAAUAAUGUCACAUCUACUGAUGGUGCAGAACGAACCAGCAUAAAAAACCAGACUACCACUGCUUUUGCACACUCUGGCAUGUGCCUGUGUGGGAGCUGUGCUGCCCUUCCCCCACCCUCUGGUAUUGUUUAAAAGUGACAGAGAAGACAAUAGCUCCACCAAAGUUAUUUUCACAGGCCAAAUGUCAGGUAAGGACUGGCAAAGUGGGAACACAUUUACAAGUGCUGGAGGGGGCAACAUCUGACCGCAGAAUCUGUGCAGAUGGAAGGGAUGCCCCUGGGUUGAUGGAAGGGCUCCAUUAAUUUCUGAUGAAGCCAUGAACCACAUGACUCAGGCAUUUUCACCCCUGGGGUGUUGAUCAUGCCUUUUCAACUAUGGAGAAGAGCAACGCAGAAGUUCUUGCUUUUAAAUACAGCCAGGGGAAGCAACUUUGUGUCCUAUACUUUUGUUUCUACGCUGCCUAGUGAAACCAUAGGCUCACUUUUUAAUGACUGAGAGCGCCUAACCAUCUUCAUGGUUGCGCUAUUGCUGUUUCUCUCUCCCACUUACAGUCCUGCUUAUGAAAAUCAGCAGCUAGUUGACAGCAGGGAAAGAAGUUCCAGGUGUUGGGGGAAAGAAAUCACCAUGAUUUGCCUAUUCCCUCUGAAAUAACAUGUUCCCAAAAUAUGGUACCUCAAGCAUCCUUAGUUUUCUGCAGAUUUUUUAGCUCAAAAAGUGAACAAGAUCCUUGGCUCAAGAAACAAUCAUCUCAAAGGAGACUAGCAACUCAGAACUCCAUGUAACCACUUCCUCCACAGCUUCAGCAUGUAGACGAACAGAUAGGGAGCCACACGUGACUACGUUCCUGGGGACCUGGUUCAGGCGUGAUGAUGCCUAAGAAAGGACUGUAUGCUCACCCCAAAAGGCUGCAGAAACACACUAAGAAUGAAUGCUGAGGAGCAGAUGUUUGAGAAAAGAAAUAUUUCUAGCUAGAAUCACCCUAGGUCUCAAAAAUCUUUUUUCUAGAUAUUUAUUUUAAGCAUAUACAGAGGGAAUCUGGAUUUUAAGGAUAUGGAAACUGUUCACAGGCAUUAGCUUUGUUAGACAUAGAGCAGACCUUAAACUUUUUUCAAGUAGUGUAUUUUGACGGAGCUUUUUGAUGGAGCUUUUUGGUGUAAACUUGAGACUCAUUUUGACAUGGGAAUUUUUUUUUUUUUAACUUAUUGGUCCUUGGAAAACAACCACCACCAUCAAAAAAAAAAGAAAAAAAACAAACAAACAAAAAAACACAGAAAAUAACUCAGCUUUUAAAAAAAGAACUACUCAAAGUAAUUUAACAGACACCCCUCAUCCUAUACUUGAGUCAGAGUUAAGCUGGAUUUAGGGCAAUUAUGGAAAUAAGUGGAGCAUACUGAUUGUUGAAGAAAACCAGGGGUUGCAUUGCAAUGAGAUGCCAUCUGGUCAACCUCUUCCUUUUGUUUUGUUUUUUUAUUAAUGAUUUUUAUUUUUCCAUUAUAGCUGGUUUACAGUGUUCUGUCAGUUUUCUACUGUACAGCAAAGUGACUCAAUCUCUCUCGCACACAUACACACAUAUAUACAUUCUUUUUCUCACAUUAUCCUCUAUCAUGCUCCAUCACAAGUGACUGUAUUCAGUUCCCAGUGCUAUACAGCAGGAUCUCAUUGCUUAUCCACUCCAAAUGCAAUAGUUUGCAUCUACUAACUCCCUAUUUCCAGCACAUCCCACUCCCUCCCCCUCCCCCAACCUCUUCCUUUAUAAAUAUGGCCCAGGGAAGUGACUGGGCCUUGGCUAGGUAGUGAGAACCAAGUCUUGCUCAGGUUGCCUCUCUCCAAAAUCUAUGUUCUUUCCCCAAUUUCACACCCAAUAUGUGUCAGUGACAUUUUUUAUUUCCAUCAUGUGUAAGGUAGAUGAACUCUCUUUGUCCAACUGGCUAAGCAACAUUAGCAUGUUUUCACUGAUUUGUAUACUCCUCAUGAAUGCAUCUGCAUACUAAUGUGCAACGUGUAUUACUUUUCUAUUCCUGUGUAACCAAAAACCACAGACUUAGUGGCUUAAACAAGCUGUGUUUAUCAGCUCACAGGUCUUGAGGUGAGAACUCCAGCACAUCAUGGCUGGGUACUCUGUUGAGUCUAUCAUCAAGCUGCAAUCUUGUUAAUGGUUGGACUGGAGAACCCUGGGGUAUGUGAUAGUGUGAGUCAGAACACCCUUCCUUUUUAAGGCUGAAUAAUAUUCUACUGUGCAUAUGGACACCUAGGUGGCUUUCACUUUUUUGGCUAUGAUGUAAAUAUGCUUUCAAACGUCUUUCCUCUGUUCUUAGAACAGCUGUCUUAUUGUGGUAACAGAAGCUUUUAUUUUGGUUUUAGAAAAGUAUAUAUAUUGUUUAUGGAAACAUGGGGAUAGAGAUUGGCUGCAUCAUCUAAGAGAGGAUCACCUACCAUGCCUUUCAAACCACAGGCCUUUGAGGACCAAGGCAAUAAAAACAGUCCCAUUCACCUUCCAAGAUAACCCCUACCUUCUCCUCCCUAGGGGGGGCUGGACUGCCCUCAUUCUCUCAGAGGUAUUUAAAAAAGUAAUUCCUCUCAUUACCUUCGCAGGAGCAAAGUGGAAGAAACCUCAUCGGAAUUAGUGCAAGCCCUGACUUAGAGAUUUUUUUCUAGCAAAGCAAUUUCAUUACUUUCAACCUAUGGGAAGCUAACAAAUUUGUCAGCGGAGCCUCAGGCUCCUAUUUUAAUGAACACAGGAGAAUCGUAUAUAAUUAUCAUAUCAAGCGCUACAACGGAAAUGGAGACUUCAAGUAUUUGAGGACACUGGAAAAUAGUUUACACUCCAGGAUUUUUGAACAUCCUCCCCUAGGACACUACAUCUAUCAUAAUAUCAUUUUAGCUAUUAAUUUCAAGCAUUGAUAACGGUUUUGCAAAGGUAACUUCAAAUGGUGGGCUGAAGGUGAAUGGGUUUUAUCACCUUUUAAUUUACCGUUAAAAUUCUUUACUCUGAACAAACUUAAGAAAGCUGAAAAUGUUUGCAGGAAAAACAAAAGCAGAUUUACAACGGACUGGUUUAUUUAUCUAGGUCUAGACAAGUACUUAAUUUUUUUUUUUUUUUUUUUUUUUGCAACUGACAAAAGAGCUAAGAGGAAGGAAAAAAGGAGAGAAGUCAGU